Molecule: non-coding RNA, 30 nt
Filed under: Mus musculus (house mouse)
Lineage: Eukaryota; Metazoa; Chordata; Mammalia; Rodentia; Muridae
Source: RNAcentral
UAUUUUUGAAAGAAUACAUUUGGUCAUAAA